Molecule: ribosomal RNA, 502 nt
Filed under: uncultured Ruminococcus sp.
Lineage: Bacteria; Bacillati; Bacillota; Clostridia; Eubacteriales; Oscillospiraceae
Description: partial 16S ribosomal RNA
Source: RNAcentral
CACGUAGUUAGCCGGAGCUUAUUCAUUAAGUACCGUCAUUUUUUCGUCCUUAAUAAAAGAAGUUUACAAUCCGAAAACCUUCAUCCUUCACGCGGCGUUGCUGCGUCAGGGUUUCCCCCAUUGCGCAAUAUCCCCCACUGCUGCCUCCCGUAGGAGUCUGGGCCGUGUCUCAGUCCCAAUGUGGCCGUUCAACCUCUCAGUCCGGCUACCGAUCGCGGUCUUGGUGAGCCGUUACCUCACCAACUAACUAAUCGGACGCGAGUCCAUCUCCGAGCGAUAAAUCUUUGAUAGCGCUGCCAUGCGACUUCGCUAUGUUAUGCGGUAUUAGCAAUCUUUUCAGAUUGUUAUUCCCCUCUCGGAGGCAGGUUACUCACGCGUUACUCACCCGUCCGCCACUAAACUUAACCAAUGUCCUUCCGAAGAAUUCCUUCAACUAAGUUCCGUUCGACUUGCAUGUGUUAGGCACGCCGCCAGCGUUCGUCCUGAGCCAGGAUCAAACUCU